UCUAAGUUCGGAUUGCAGGCUGCAACCCGCCUGCAUGAAGUCGGAAUCGCUAGUAAUCGCGAGUCAGCAUAUCGCGGUGAAUACGUUCCCGGGUCUUGUACACACCGCCCGUCACACCAUGGGAGUUGGCAACACCCGAAGUCGAUGAGCUAACCGCAAGGAGGCAGUCGCCUAAGGUGGGGUUGAUGAUUAGGGUUAAGUCGUAACAAGGUAGC
Molecule: ribosomal RNA, 215 nt
Filed under: uncultured bacterium
Lineage: Bacteria
Description: partial 16S ribosomal RNA
Rfam family: Bacterial small subunit ribosomal RNA
Source: RNAcentral